This 460-nucleotide ribosomal RNA is filed under the name uncultured bacterium. RNAcentral describes it as "partial 16S ribosomal RNA". It matches the Rfam family "Bacterial small subunit ribosomal RNA", at positions 338 to 795 of the family's 1533-position model. The record is from RNAcentral.
CCUACGGGGGGCAGCAGUGAGGAAUAUUGGUCAAUGGACGAGAGUCUGAACCAGCCAAGUAGCGUGAAGGAUGACCGCUCUAUGGGUUGUAAACUUCUUUUAUAAAGGAAUAAAACGAGGCACGUGUGCCUCUUUGCAUGUACCCUAUGAAUAAGGAUCGGCUAACUCCGUGCCAGCAGCCGCGGUAAUACGGAGGAUGCGAGCGUUAUCCGGAUUCAUUGGGUUUAAAGGGAGCGUAGAUGGGUUUGUAAGUCAGGUGUGAAAGUUUGCGGCUCAACCGUAAAAUUGCAAUUGAUACUGGCAGACUUGAGUACAGUUGAGGUAGGUGGAAUUCGUGGUGUAGCGGUGAAAUGCUUAGAUAUCACGAAGAACCCCGAUUGCGAAGGCAGCUUACUAAACUGUAACUGACAUUGAUGCACGAAAGUGUGGGUAUCAAACAGGAUUAGAUACCCGAGUAGUC